UUUGCAAUGAGAUGGAAACAGGCAGCAAGUGCUACUAGUGUCUGGCCGACGUACAGCACAGCUGAUUUACUGUCUGGCAAUGCAACACACACCAAGCAGCCUGAUGUGGAACUUUGCCGGCACCCAUAGGCCACAAUUUUGUACUGGGUAUCAGUUUUCAAAAAGGGCACAGCAAUGCGGGCAUUGUCGAUGCCUAUAAUCGAAGCAUUGACUCCAGUUUCUUGCCUGUGCCAAAAGCCAGUAAUGAAAUCAGGGAAGGAGGAACAUUCCAGUAGUGCUAGAUGUGAUAAAGUACACAGUACCUGACCUCACUAAGUGUCCUGGGGUUGAAUGACUAGAAAUAAAAGCAACAGACAGACUGAAAGGAGUACGACUAUGGAACAAUGGAAAAGAAGGCAACAAGCAGUCUGCAAGUACUAUUGCAAACUACUUCAAGAAAGGAAAGGGUUUCCAACAGAUCUCGGCUUUCUUAAAUAGCCGUUCAGAAAUGACUCCACAUCCCGGAAACUACAGGAAAUACUCAGGAAACCUCCCAGUCUCAUUUAUUCCUUCCCUCUUUCUGCCUACAGUUUCAAAAGUAGUUUUGAUCAGGUUAAUAACAAAG
Hyla sarda is the source of this 604-nucleotide long non-coding RNA. RefSeq lists it as uncharacterized. The record is from RefSeq and is a predicted model, not a curated record. Lineage: Eukaryota; Metazoa; Chordata; Amphibia; Anura; Hylidae. The transcript is spliced from 3 exons.